Molecule: long non-coding RNA, 650 nt
Organism: Rhipicephalus microplus (southern cattle tick)
Lineage: Eukaryota; Metazoa; Arthropoda; Arachnida; Ixodida; Ixodidae
Source: RefSeq, a predicted model, not a curated record
AAGACCUAUAUGAGAAAAGCAACCUUGAAUACAAUAACGAGAGAGUUUAUUAGCACGCCGUUCGUGGUUAACGCCGUAUCGUUCACGAUAAUUACCCUAGGGUUAUCUGCGUUUCUUUUGUUGUCAGUGGAUAUUGCCAAGGACAAAGGAAUUGCACCAUCCAGUGGCGUUUUUUUACUAAACGCUUUUGCAGUGACGGACAUUGUGAUGAGACCACUAAGCGGCCUUUUAAUCGACUCUGGUGUUUUGUUACUGGAAAGCGUCAUGCUAGUGGGAUACCUUCUUCAAUCUCUCGUGCUAGAGCUGUUCGUGUUGCUGGACUCUUUCCCGGUCAUGCUGGCUUUGUCCGCGUUAUUCGGAAUCAGUAACGGAUUGAGAAUUACCCUGCUCAUGCCUUCUCUCACGAAACACUUUGGAGUUGACCGAAUGCCCUUAGUGCUCGGUGGAGUCGGCUUCUGGAUUGGUGUCACACUCAUUACGGGACCAUUUUUGGUUGGUUACUGGCGAGAUCGUUUGGGAUCAUACGAUGGCCUUCUUCAUUUCAUGGCAGCACUGAAUGCUGCACUAGCCAUUAUCUGGGCUGCAAAGCUUUGUUUACAAAGACGACAAAAGCCACUUCUAUAGCAUAAAUAAAUGUAGUCUACACAAAA